RNAcentral lists this ribosomal RNA (450 nucleotides) under uncultured bacterium. RNAcentral describes it as "partial 16S ribosomal RNA". It matches the Rfam family "Bacterial small subunit ribosomal RNA", at positions 29 to 523 of the family's 1533-position model. The record is from RNAcentral.
AGCGAACGCUGGCGGCAGGCCUAACACAUGCAAGUCGAACGAAGUCUUCGGACUUAGUGGCGGACGGGUGAGUAACACGUGGGAACGUGCCUUUAGGUUCGGAAUAACUCAGGGAAACUUGUGCUAAUACCGAAUGUGCCCUUCGGGGGAAAGAUUUAUCGCCUUUAGAGCGGCCCGCGUCUGAUUAGCUAGUUGGUGAGGGAAAGGCGCACCAAGGCGACGAUCAGUAGCUGGUCUGAGAGGAUGAUCAGCCACAUUGGGACUGAGCACACGGCCCAAACUCCUACGGGAGGCAGCAGUGGGGAAUCUUGCGCAAUGGGCGAAAGCCUGACGCAGCCAUGCCGCGUGAAUGAUGAAGGUCUUAGGAUUGUAAAAUUCUUUCACCGGGGACGAUAAUGACGGUACCCGGAGAAGAAGCCCCGGCUAACUUCGUGCCAGCCGCCGCCGUAA